Non-coding RNA from Mus caroli (Ryukyu mouse), 456 nucleotides. The record is from RefSeq and is a predicted model, not a curated record. NCBI's taxonomy places the organism in Eukaryota, Metazoa, Chordata, Mammalia, Rodentia, Muridae.
AUGUUAAAGUCACCCAUCUUGAUCCUUCCCUGUAGGAAGAAUGUUUCUUGAACCUAGAGGCUCCAAUAUCUCGAGUAUGUGGCUAUGANACCCCAUUUCCUCACAUCUUUGAGCCCUUUUAUAUCCCAGACAAGUGGAAGUGCUACGAUGCCCUUCGNAAGAUGAUCAACUAUUGACGACAGAGAAAACCAGGAAGAUCAUGACUAGAUAUGGAAAUAUUUUUCUGAAACCUUUUUAUAUUUCCUUAUACUUCUUUCUUCUUACAUAUAGUUUUAUGCAACGAACUGUCAUGGAUAUUGGCUGAUCAGCUGCAAAUUACUUAUCAUGUUANUAUAAAUGGAUUGAGUGCACAGGAGGAAUGCUUUAAGGAGCGCGUGGGUGGUGACCUUAAGACUAUUUCAUGACUAUAAAUAUCGGGUGGUGUUGUAUUCAAUAAAGCCAAAUUACAUCGCCUCA